Molecule: ribosomal RNA, 505 nt
Filed under: uncultured bacterium
Lineage: Bacteria
Description: partial 16S ribosomal RNA
Rfam family: Bacterial small subunit ribosomal RNA
Source: RNAcentral
AUUGAACGCUGGCGGCAUGCCUUACACAUGCAAGUCGAACGGCAGCAUGGAAGAGCUUGCUCUUCUGAUGGCGAGUGGCGAACGGGUGAGUAAUACAUCGGAACGUACCUUAUCGUGGGGGAUAACGCAGCGAAAGCUGUGCUAAUCCCGCAUACGCCCUGAGGGGGAAAGCGGGGGAUCGAAAGACCUCGCGCGACUAGAGCGGCCGAUGCCUGAUUGGCUUGUGUGUGGGGUAAAAGCCCACCAAGGCGACGAUCAGUAGCUGGUCUGAGAGGACGAUCAGCCACACUGGGACUGAGACACGGCCCAGACUCCUACGGGAGGCAGCAGUGGGGAAUUUUGGACAAUGGGGGCAACCCUGAUCCAGCAAUGCCGCGUGAGUGAAGAAGGCCUUCGGGUUGUAAAGCUCUUUUGUCAGGGAAGAAACACCGGCUCUAACACAGUCCGGGAAUGACGGUACCUGAAGAAUAAGCACCGGCUAACUACGUGCCAGCAGCCGCAGUAA